This 468-nucleotide ribosomal RNA is filed under the name uncultured bacterium. RNAcentral describes it as "partial 16S ribosomal RNA". It matches the Rfam family "Bacterial small subunit ribosomal RNA", at positions 28 to 507 of the family's 1533-position model. The record is from RNAcentral.
GACGAACGCUGGCGGCGUGCUUUACACAUGCAAGUCGAACGGAAAGGCCCUGCUUUUGUGGGGUGCUCGAGUGGCGAACGGGUGAGUAACACGUGAGUAACCUGCCCUUGACUUUGGGAUAACUUCAGGAAACUGGGGCUAAUACCGGAUAGGAGCUCCUGCUGCAUGGGGGGGGUUGGAAAGUUUCGGCGGUUGGGGAUGGACUCGCGGCUUAUCAGCUUGUUGGUGGGGUAGUGGCUUACCAAGGCUUUGACGGGUAGCCGGCCUGAGAGGGUGACCGGCCACAUUGGGACUGAGAUACGGCCCAGACUCCUACGGGAGGCAGCAGUGGGGAAUAUUGCACAAUGGGCGGAAGCCUGAUGCAGCAACGCCGCGUGCGGGAUGACGGCCUUCGGGUUGUAAACCGCUUUCGCCUGUGACGAAGCGUGAGUGACGGUAAUGGGUAAAGAAGCACCGGCUAACUACGUG